AUUUUUCAUUCAGUCCUUUUGGUGCAAUUGUUUCCAGUGUUCUAAUCCAGUAGAUCUCUCUUUGAAGGUGGUGGUGGGAUCUGGUCAAUCGCCAUUAGUUUCAUCGACAGAAGUGCAUGUCCUGCUUCCAAGAAAUGUCUAGCCACGGGUAACUCAGAGGCAUUAUCCCGGUAAGCCACCCGAAUACUGGAACGAUGGUUGCGAAUUCGCUCUCUUA
Molecule: non-coding RNA, 217 nt
Organism: Pelobates cultripes (western spadefoot toad)
Lineage: Eukaryota; Metazoa; Chordata; Amphibia; Anura; Pelobatidae
Source: the annotation of a GenBank genome assembly